UAGUAACGAGCUUGUGAAGCAAGCAGAGCAGGUGGUAGAGACCUGCUUUUUAGAUGGAGAAACUAAGGUUCAGAAGGAGUUCAUGAGUUGGCCUAAAUUCAGAGCUGAAACCAGGUGUUUCUGAUGCUGGUUCUGCUUCUCUUUUGCCAUACUGCUUUUCAUGUCAUGUUUUCUGGCAUUUUGGUAAUGACGUUAUGCUUGAACACUUGCUGAAUAUUAACCUCUUUUGGUUUGGGAUAUUAGCAUUUAGAUAUUUACAAAUUAACAUAUUUGGAUUUUUUCUUUUUAAACCAUCCAGUUCUUCAGUUUCCCUGCUGUAGUCGCUCCAUUCAAAUGUUCCGUCCUCCCACUGAGCCAAAACCAGGAGUUCAUGCCAUUUGUCAAGGAAUUAUCGGAAGCCCUGACCAGGCACGGAGUGUCUCACAAAGUAGACGAUUCCUCUGGGUCAAUCGGAAGGCGCUAUGCCAGGACUGAUGAGAUUGGCGUGGCUUUUGGUGUCACCAUUGACUUUGACACAGUGAACAAGACCCCCCACACUGCAACUCUGAGGGACCGUGACUCAAUGCGGCAGAUAAGAGCAGAGGUCUCUGAGCUGCCCAGCAUAGUCCGAGACCUAGCCAAUGGCAACAUCACGUGGGCCGAUGUGGAGGCCAGGUAUCCUCUGUUUGAAGGGCAAGAGACUGGUAAAAAAGAGACAAUCGAGGAAUGAGGACAAUUUUGACAACUUUUGACCACUUGCGCUAAUAAAAAAAAAAACAA
RNAcentral lists this small RNA (759 nucleotides) under Pongo abelii (Sumatran orangutan). RNAcentral's name for it is "retained intron". Lineage: Eukaryota; Metazoa; Chordata; Mammalia; Primates; Hominidae. The record is from RNAcentral.